AUGUUUUUGACAGCGGAAGCUUUAGCACUUAGGUUUGGCUUAUUGCUGGCACAAAAGGCGGGUUGCAAUCGCCUCGUUAUUAACUCUGACAACAUGGAAGUCUUUGACACAAUGAAGAACGGAGGACAUUCUGUAGGAGUGGCGGCCGCAGUUUUUGAUGAUUGCUCUUUUAUGGCUUGCGAUUUUCCUCCUACUAGUUUUGAACAUUGUAAUAGAAAAGCGAAUAAACUAGCUCAUGAGCUUGCUAUUCUAGCAAAAUGUUCCGGGACAAGGGAUUGGAUAGAAGAACCUAUGGAACCUUCUUAUAAACGAUGUAAUCAUUGUUUCUAA
This 330-nucleotide ribosomal RNA is filed under the name Triticum aestivum (bread wheat). RNAcentral's name for it is "partial small subunit ribosomal RNA". Lineage: Eukaryota; Viridiplantae; Streptophyta; Magnoliopsida; Poales; Poaceae. The record is from RNAcentral.